CUACGCCCCUCCCGCCUUUAGCUGGGGAAAGGCGAGGAGGGGGAGGGGCGAGAAGUCACCCGCCCUCUGGGCUCGGCGUGAUGGUGCACGUCACGCGAAAGGGCUGCUGGGAAGAUUACUCCGCUGCCCUUCCCCCGCUCCGGAGAGCGGGGAAACCUUGGAGAAGUGGCGGGAGGGGGAGCCCCACGUGGUGUGCAGAGUGGGUCUGAAAGAACGGCCUUCCCAGGCUCACCUGCCCCAUUGCUGCCGGGAGUAGGAGCGGAGAGAUGGGUCUCUCCCCUAGGUGCUUCAGUGCCCCCCAUUAAAACCACCCGAUUGGAAAGAACCUCACGUACCAGCUAAUAAAUCAACGAGCAAUUAUUAGCCGCCUGCUGUGUGCUGGGAGAUGGCCAACUAAUUGCUGAACAAGAAGUCAUACACCCCCCCCCCGGGGGUCUUACUCCUAGAAGUGAGGAGAAGGGCCUUCCUUGACUCAAAGAAUGUGAACAAUCACUCUCAAAAGAAAACUAAAAUAAUAAAGUCGCAAAUAAGCACGAACAGAUGUUCCCAAAAUCACUCGUGAUAAAUGGGUCACCGUUACACCCAGCCGACCUUUAAACGUGGACAUCGGAUGGAAAUAGUUACCGUGGGGGCUACUACCGCGGGAAAAUAGGCACAUCUUUACCUAAUGGGUGCAGCCGCAGACGUCCGGCCACUGCAAAAGGGCUGGGGAUCUGGCGCUAGCUUAAGUGGCCGCAGAACCUGGGACUGAGCCCGAGGGCUCCAAGACAAAAGGUCUCCCGGCCAGUAAAAAGGUUUGUGUCAGCAUUCUGAUCUACAGAAAACACAAUUAGAAACAAAGUAGGUGUCUGCUGAAUACAUACAAUGGAAAAUUGCUUUGCCAGAAGCAAUGGAAAGGAAGAAUACAGAGAAACAUUGGAAGCUUUUAAAUAACCCGAUGGAAAAAGAAGGAAGCGGAAGCUAGAAAAUACCUUGCAGAAAGUUAAAGAACUAGAUGGUCUACAGGAUGGAAAGUCAGGGAAAAAACAAAUGCAGACCUGUCUUAGACCUUAGCUGUGUCACCUUAAUCUCUCUCAGUUUCAACUCUCUCUCCUAACUAUCAUUAAUGAAGAUGUUAAAUUAGACCAGAAUGAAAACUGAUCCCUGUGGCACCCUGCUAGACACCGCCAAACAAUGGGACGCAUUGCCAUUUGCUGUAUCAUUACCCUUUGUUUCUCUUGUGUGUUUAAUUCCUUACUUUGGUAAAGAGUCAAAAAUUGCUUGACAUCUCCACCACUUCAGAGAUGCUGCUGUAGAGAAGAGCCAUUAAAAAACCUGCCAGACUCUAAACAAAUCCUUUUGUAUUUUUGAAUUAAAUGUGGAUUAUGAAUAGAGAAUUGUUGGGAAUCGUUCUAUUGCUUAUUACUUUAGCUGCCUUUGUUUUCUAUUGACUUUUCUGCAGCUGUUCUGCCUUUGCUGGAACAGAUGAAGCUAGAUAUUUGCUGUAUUAGGGGAUGUUGCUUGCAUCAGCUUAACUAGGAAUAGCAAAAGAACUCUGAUCUUACAUAUGAAAGCAUAUACUUGGAGUAUUAUGGAUUAGAAAGUCAUUGAUUCCAAGAGGAAUUUUAUCCAAUCAGUGCGUAAUAGAAAUAUUAUCUUCUAUAUAAGAGUUGAAAUAAAGAUCUCUUGGAUAUGGUAGAAAGAAUUGUAAAAGAAGCUAUAGAAUAAGAAUUUUUAACCUGGGGUUCUUGAACUUGUUUUUAAUAAAUAUUUUUAUAACUGUA
This is a long non-coding RNA of Antechinus flavipes (yellow-footed antechinus), 1763 nucleotides long. RefSeq lists it as uncharacterized. The record is from RefSeq and is a predicted model, not a curated record. The transcript is spliced from 2 exons. Lineage: Eukaryota; Metazoa; Chordata; Mammalia; Dasyuromorphia; Dasyuridae.